AACCUGCACAGCAUGUUAUUGUACUGAACAAUGUAGGCAAUGUAACGCAAUGAUAUUUGUGUAUCUAAACAUACCUAAAUGCAGAAAUGCUGCAGUAGAUAUACAACAUAAAAGAUUGUUUUUAAGUCCACCUGUAGAAGGCACUUACCAUGAAUUGAACUUGCAGGCUUGGAAAUAUCUCUGGGUUCUGCUUGAAUUCUUGCCCUGGCUCUUGGUGAAGGAUCGGCCUGCUGGAUCUGAGUCAUCCACCUAUAAGAGGGACAACACCACACAUUGGUCGCUGCUCUCAAGCCCCUGGAAUACCACCCCACUUGGCUUCUCCUGGUAACAGUGGCUGCCUUUGCUUGCCUGUCUCCAACUCCUCCCAAGAGCAUUGCUGACUAGAUGGGCUCUCACUAUAGCCCUGUUCUGGAACUCCUGGGCUCAAGCCAUCCUCCCACUUUGGCCUCCCCAAAAUGCUGGGAUUACAGGCGUGAACCACCGCAUCUAGCCUAAAAUUAUAUUGUUAAAAGACUUUGUUUCUCAGUUUGGGAUAAUCAGAAUUCAUAGUUCUGAUCUCGACUACCAGUUUUAAUGAGGUACUUCUUUCUAACUCCAUCAGCUGUGUGGCUAUCUGCAGAUUCUGCUAUCAGCUACAGGUCUGGGUUUGUGUCUCCGACAAAGAACCACCUCAAAGCCCCACAGAAAAGGACUGUACCGUAUACUUCAAACUAUUGACACCUCAAAGAACAGAGCUUGGGUUCAGGCUUCUGAUGCAUUCUGAGACACUCUCAGACCAUACCAGUGGGCUGGGUCAGGAUUUACAGAACUAUUUUCAUUUCAAGAGCAUACGGGCUCAUGAGAUUGCUAACUCAAGAUCCGGUGGAACAGAAAUACUUAUAUCGGACUGAAUAAACUGAUGAGGA
RNAcentral lists this long non-coding RNA (905 nucleotides) under Homo sapiens (human). RNAcentral describes it as "HSALNT0316855". The record is from RNAcentral. Lineage: Eukaryota; Metazoa; Chordata; Mammalia; Primates; Hominidae.